Molecule: unclassified non-coding RNA, 295 nt
Organism: Ursus americanus (American black bear)
Lineage: Eukaryota; Metazoa; Chordata; Mammalia; Carnivora; Ursidae
Gene: 7SK
Rfam family: 7SK RNA
About the family: 7SK was discovered as an abundant small nuclear RNA in the mid-70s but a possible function has only recently been suggested. Two independent studies have found that 7SK RNA binds the CDK9/cyclin T complex (known as elongation factor P-TEFb).
Source: Ensembl
AAUUGAGAGCAAGCUGUCUGUGGCAUCUGUCAACCCCAAUGACUGCCAGAAUUGGUUUGGUAAAUCUGCCCUGCUGGGAAGGUGUCCCCUUUCUUCCUGGCUCUGCUACAUGUGUCUCUCCCAAAGCUGCAUGCUUUGUUGAAGAGGGUGAUUUUCCUAGAGAGAGGAGAAGGAUGUACACGAGUCAAGUUCUCCUAUUGGACUGUCCAGGGCUCAGCAAGUAGGCUAUCCCACCUGGCUGUGACACUCCCACUACAUAAUGAGCCACCUGAAGGUGAAGAUAUCAUCUUUGUGU